GGAAUACUCUGAUCAUCAUAACAACUUCUUUAAAGACUUUUGCUAUGAAUGAGGAGCUACUGAUAGGGUUAGAGCGUCAGCUGACUUCCCCAGAUGCCACUUGGGGGAUCUGGAGAUAACCUUUGGGGUUAAAGGAUCAGGAAAACAAAGCGAUGGUUAAAACCCCUUCAGCAGCUUCCCUUAUUCCAGCGCCGGUGACCUCUCCUCCCCCGCCGACGUCAG
Non-coding RNA from Pelobates cultripes (western spadefoot toad), 222 nucleotides. NCBI's taxonomy places the organism in Eukaryota, Metazoa, Chordata, Amphibia, Anura, Pelobatidae. The record is from the annotation of a GenBank genome assembly.